Molecule: ribosomal RNA, 252 nt
Filed under: uncultured bacterium
Lineage: Bacteria
Description: partial 16S ribosomal RNA
Rfam family: Bacterial small subunit ribosomal RNA
Source: RNAcentral
UACGAAGGGGCUAGCGUUGCUCGGAAUCACUGGGCGUAAAGGGUGCGUAGGCGGGUCUUUAAGUCAGGGGUGGAAUCCUGGAGCUCAACUCCAGAACUGCCUUUGAUACUGAGGAUCUUGAGUUCGGGAGAGGUGAGUGGAACUGCGAGUGUAGAGGUGAAAUUCGUAGAUAUUCGCAAGAACACCAGUGGCGAAGGCGGCUCACUGGCCCGAUACUGACGCUGAGGCACGAAAGCGUGGGGAGCAAACAGG